AGGACGAACGCUGGCGGCGUGCUUAACACAUGCAAGUCGAACGGUAAGGCCCCUUCGGGGGUACACGAGUGGCGAACGGGUGAGUAACACGUGGGUAAUCUGCCCUGCACUUCGGGAUAAGCCUGGGAAACUGGGUCUAAUACCGGAUAUGAGCUCCUGCCGCAUGGUGGGAGUUGGAAAGUUUUUCGGUGCAGGAUGAGUCCGCGGCCUAUCAGCUUGUUGGUGGGGUAAUGGCCUACCAAGGCGACGACGGGUAGCCGGCCUGAGAGGGUGAUCGGCCACACUGGGACUGAGACACGGCCCAGACCUCCUACGGGAGCAGCAGUGGGAAUAUGCACAAGUGGGACGAAGCCUGAUGCAGCGACGGCCGGCGGGGGGAUGGACGGUCGUUCGGAUUACGUAAACCCCUUUGAGGUAGGACGAAGCGAAGUGACGUACUGCAGAAGAGCGACCGACUAACUACGU
This 465-nucleotide ribosomal RNA is filed under the name uncultured soil bacterium. RNAcentral's name for it is "bacterial SSU rRNA". It matches the Rfam family "Bacterial small subunit ribosomal RNA", at positions 26 to 506 of the family's 1533-position model. The record is from RNAcentral.